Long non-coding RNA from Hyposmocoma kahamanoa, 2077 nucleotides. RefSeq lists it as uncharacterized. Lineage: Eukaryota; Metazoa; Arthropoda; Insecta; Lepidoptera; Cosmopterigidae. The record is from RefSeq and is a predicted model, not a curated record. The transcript is spliced from 2 exons.
GAAACGUCGGUUUGUUUGAAAAAACAAAUAUACGCGAUUUAAAUCCGGAAAAAUAGUUUCAUUUCCUAUGUGUAACAAUCGCGAAAACCUAAGAACUCGAUAUGGUUUAAAACCAGUUUAGCAGAAGUUUGUAAUUCAAGAGUAAUAUACGUUAUACGAUAUCUUGCAUGUUUUUUUAAAGCAGAGGAUCAACUACGGGUCCUAAGUAUAAAUGUAUACUACGCCGUCCACUACCUAAAACGAGGCUAAGUGACAAAUGGUCAAAUAUCCGUUUUAAAUAGCAAAAGAUAGAGCAAAAAAUUAUCUUUUAAAAACAGUAAUUAGUUAACGUGUUCCACUUAUCGGAACUUACCCUAACGAUGCAUAGCUGAUAUAUCAUUAAACAAUUUCAAUAUUUUAAAACUGGGUUAUGGUUUUUUAUAUCUCUAAAAAUUAUUUUGUCGCGUUUUAUUUAGCGGGCGGCAGUAUAGUACUUAUAUAAAAUAAUAAUAAUGUCGUAAAUAAUCGCUAGUACGAGGUCGACGCGCUUGCAAAUCAAAUUGAUAUCGAUAUGUUAUUUCUCGGGGCAACAGAUAGUUUUAUAUCAAUGAUGCAGUCGGUAGCACGUGCAGCAUCAGCCUUGUUUUGGUAUGCUUCAAGUGUUGUUCAGUAUUUUAACAGCUAACUACAUUAAAUAAAAAGACUACUAAAAAGAACAGGCUAUAGUGACCUUUAGCUGCUGUGAAUUAUUUUCGAUCAUGAGACUAUUUUCAGUUUUAAUCAAAAAUAUACCUUAUAUUCAUUGAUUUGUUUCAGGGGAUCGAGAGUAGACCCCCAGUUACGUUGAUCGUUUAGAUGAUAGUUUAGAUGAUAUUGAUAUAUUUGGUGACUGUAUUAAUAAUCAAAAUAUUUUUUUAAACGGGCAACAUUUAACAUUUGUACAGUACCGAUAAGAUCAUGUUCUAACGAUACAUACAUACACUUCACGCCCUUUUCCCAUCGAGGUUGACAUAGACUAAUUAAUAUUAUCUUUAAUAUUAAUAUAAUUAUUACUAUGCUAUAACAUUGUUUGUAACAAUAGUCAUUUAAAACGAUCAACUAGCUAAUGCUUAACCUAAGACUUGUAGAAUACACACUGUACAUGAUUACCAUAGUAAAUAAACAAUUUUAUAUUUAAUUAUAAUGUUAAAAUAUGAAUACUAUAAUUAAAUAAGUUUAAUCUCAAAUAAGUUUGUCAUAUCAAAUAAUCUUUUCCUUUUAUUCAAACAAGGCUUAUUAUAACAUUUGUUAUUAAUUUUAUGUCAAUCAGAGCAUCCAUCCAUUUACAAAGCUUGUGGAAUCUUAGAUUGGUACUCAAAAAUUAAGGCAUCGACCGAACAAAAAAGAAUCCAAAGCUGUCGCGUGUUAACAUAGAUUGGCUUUUGAUGCGUUGAAGAUAUUUGCCUCCACCUAUGCGUAAGGUAUUGAUUUCGGCGAUUAUGAAAGUCUUCUCGUAAUUAACUGGGUAUUCAAUACUGUAAUAUUAUGUUGUCGAGUAGUAAAUCAUCUAUGCCCAAACAUUGUUGAAGUCACAAUAAAAAAAUAAGAGGUAUUGGAAAUUCAAAUAGAUUGUCGUGAGUGUUGUGAGUGUAGAAUAUCAUGGGGUUAAAAAGCCAAAUUACGGAAAAUUUUCAUAAAUAAUUCUAGUACUAAUGGUCUAGUGGGGCAAAUAAAUUUUAAACUGCCGCAAAUACACGAUCAUCGCGUUUGAACCAUCUUCCUAAAACCCUUCAUUUCAUUGCAUUAUUGUGCUAUAAAUCACAGAUUUGUACAUUACUAUUUACGUGGAAUCAUGUGGAAAUGUAACUCCACAAAAUCCAAAAAUAUUAUGUUGUCUGUUUAUAUCUUGUAUGCACUAUUGAGCUCGGCACAAUUUUUCAAAUUAAUAUGAUUUAUAAGUUGAUGUAAACCACAUUGCUUAGCGUUAACACUUCACAAAUUGCUCACGUCUCUUGGCCAAAUUUUUAAAUAAUUGAAUUUUAAUGUACUCUCGCCAUUAUGCGGAAUUUUUAUAUAACUAAUUUCGUAUUUUACUUUACGACGAUUAAUUUAAUGCGCC